GUUAGAGCGCACGCCUGAUAAGCGUGAGGUCGGUGGUUCGAGUCCACUUAGACCCA
The sequence is a transfer RNA, 56 nucleotides long. It matches the Rfam family "tRNA", at positions 18 to 71 of the family's 71-position model. From Rfam's summary of the family: Transfer RNA (tRNA) molecules are approximately 80 nucleotides in length. Their secondary structure includes four short double-helical elements and three loops (D, anti-codon, and T loops). The record is from Rfam.